Molecule: long non-coding RNA, 784 nt
Organism: Spodoptera frugiperda (fall armyworm)
Lineage: Eukaryota; Metazoa; Arthropoda; Insecta; Lepidoptera; Noctuidae
Exons: 2
Source: RefSeq, a predicted model, not a curated record
GAGACCAAAUUAAUGCAAAAAAUGUUGAAAACAUUGUAAAAAUAUCUAUUUAGGGCAAGUGACCCGGUUGUGGCCAUCGACCCCUUUGUGGCCACUUGGGCCUUCAAAUAUUUAUAACUAAGGCAUGGACAAAUAAAUUACUCUGUGAUGUACAGUAUUUAAAAUAUUGAAUAUUGGAGACAAUAAUACCGUUGGCAGCUUUAAUGUGUCAAACUUCACUUCGAUGCAACACGUCAUUCUUUUUAGUUGAGGAUGAAAUUGUUAAGUUCUUAACAAAAAGGCUAAGGCGAGCGGGUGAGGAUUUGGUUUUUAUUUUUUAAAUCUUUGCUUAUUGUUUGGAUGUUUAUGUUAAUACUACAUUAAGAAUAUAUUGUCUAAGUGAAACUAAAGUUAUUUUGUCGCCAUAUGUUUCAGAAGUGAGGUUUUUAGAAGGUGGCCACUAAUGGAGAUAAAAUUAUGAAUUUCUCCAUCUUUGGCCACAUGGCUGGCCAAAACUAAUGUACACAGACACCCGACUUCUUCCCCUUUAUUUUAUCGUGGCUUUUUUUCCUUGGCUUUACAUAUCAACAAAUACAUAUUUUUCAUUUUCAGAGAUGCAAUAAAUUGCCUUCACACAAAGGGAGGUCAGUUUACUUUGCAGCUUUUACCAACGUCAUAUAAAUGUUGAUCUCUUUAUUUGUAAGUUAAAUUCAAGUGAAGUAAUAAUAUUUCAUAUUUUCCAGACUAAAUGAAAACCAUUGUUUCUAAAAUGUCAAAUCUAAUUAAUAAAUUUUGAUUACUUUUA